GAGUAAUGUCUGGGAAACUGCCUGAUGGAGGGGGAUAACUACUGGAAACGGUGGCUAAUACCGCAUAACGUCGCAAGACCAAAGAGGGGGACCUUCGGGCCUCUUGCCAUCAGAUGUGCCCAGAUGGGAUUAGCUUGUUGGUGAGGUAACGGCUCACCAAGGCGACGAUCCCUAGCUGGUCUGAGAGGAUGACCAGCCACACUGGAACUGAGACACGGUCCAGACUCCUACGGGAGGCAGCAGUGGGGAAUAUUGCACAAUGGGCGCAAGCCUGAUGCAGCCAUGCCGCGUGUAUGAAGAAGGCCUUCGGGUUGUAAAGUACUUUCAGCGGGGAGGAAGGUGUUGUGGUUAAUAACCGCAGCAAUUGACGUUACCCGCAGAAGAAGCACCGGCUAACUCCGUGCCAGCAGCCGCGGUAAUACGGAGGGUGCAAGCGUUAAUCGGAAUUACUGGGCGUAAAGCGCACGCAGGCGGUCUGUCAAGUCGGAUGUGAAAUCCCCGGGCUCAACCUGGGAACUGCAUUCGAAACUGGCAGGCUUGAGUCUUGUAGAGGGGGGUAGAAUUCCAGGUGUAGCGGUGAAAUGCGUAGAGAUCUGGAGGAAUACCGGUGGCGAAGGCGGCCCCCUGGACAAAGACUGACGCUCAGGUGCGAAAGCGUGGGGAGCAAACAGGAUUAGAUACCCUGGUAGUCCACGCCGUAAACGAUGUCUACUUGGAGGUUGUGCCCUUGAGGCGUGGCUUCCGGAGCUAACGCGUUAAGUAGACCGCCUGGGGAGUACGGCCGCAAGGUUAAAACUCAAAUGAAUUGACGGGGGCCCGCACAAGCGGUGGAGCAUGUGGUUUAAUUCGAUGCAACGCGAAGAACCUUACCUGGUCUUGACAUCCACAGAACAUUCCAGAGAUGGAUUGGUGCCUUCGGGAACUGUGAGACAGGUGCUGCAUGGCUGUCGUCAGCUCGUGUUGUGAAAUGUUGGGUUAAGUCCCGCAACGAGCGCAACCCUUAUCCUUUGUUGCCAGCGGUCCGGCCGGGAACUCAAAGGAGACUGCCAGUGAUAAACUGGAGGAAGGUGGGGAUGACGUCAAGUCAUCAUGGCCCUUACGACCAGGGCUACACACGUGCUACAAUGGCGCAUACAAAGAGAAGCGACCUCGCGAGAGCAAGCGGACCUCAUAAAGUGCGUCGUAGUCCGGAUUGGAGUCUGCAACUCGACUCCAUGAAGUCGGAAUCGCUAGUAAUCGUGGAUCAGAAUGCCACGGUGAAUACGUUCCCGGGCCUUGUACACACCGCCCGUCACACCAUGGGAGUGGGUUGCAAAAGAAGUAGGUAGCUUAACCUUCGGGAGGGCGCUUACCACUUUGUGAUUCAUGACUGGGGUGAAGUCGUAACAAGGUAACCGUAGGGGAACCUGCGGUUGGA
This 1417-nucleotide ribosomal RNA is filed under the name Salmonella enterica. RNAcentral describes it as "bacterial SSU rRNA". It matches the Rfam family "Bacterial small subunit ribosomal RNA". Lineage: Bacteria; Pseudomonadati; Pseudomonadota; Gammaproteobacteria; Enterobacterales; Enterobacteriaceae. The record is from RNAcentral.